AGCGAACGUUAGCGGCGCGCUUAACACAUGCAAGUCGCACGAGAAAGGGCUUCGGCCCCGGUAAAGUGGCGCACGGGUGCGUAACACGUAGGCAAUCUUCCCUUGAGCGGGGGAUAACGUUUCGAAAGAGACGCUAAUACCGCAUAAGACCACGACGGGUUCGCUCGUUGCGGUCAAAGCUGGCCUCUUCAUGAAAGCUAGCACUCAAGGACGAGCCUGCGGCCCAUCAUGCUAGUUGGUAGGGUAAUGGCCUACCAAGGCGAAGACGGGUAGCUGGUCUGAGAGGAUGAUCAGCCACACUGGAACUGAAACACGGUCCAGACUCCUACGGGAGGCAGCAGUGGGGAAUAUUGGACAAUGGGCGAAAGCCUGAUCCAGCGACGCCGCGUGAGUGAUGAUGGCCUUCGGGUUGUAAAGCUCUGUUGAGGGAGAAGAAAACAGUUAGAGCGAAUAGGUCUAACUCUUGACGGUAUCCCUUUAGAAAGCACCGGCUAACUCUGUGCCAGCCGCCGCAGUAA
RNAcentral lists this ribosomal RNA (518 nucleotides) under uncultured bacterium. RNAcentral's name for it is "partial 16S ribosomal RNA". It matches the Rfam family "Bacterial small subunit ribosomal RNA", at positions 29 to 523 of the family's 1533-position model. The record is from RNAcentral.